GGAUUCGUGGUCCAACGGGAAGACAUCCGCCUCCAGAGCGGGCGAUGGCUGUUCGAUUCGGUCCGAAUCCA
Molecule: transfer RNA, 71 nt
Filed under: Haloarcula onubensis
Lineage: Archaea; Methanobacteriati; Methanobacteriota; Halobacteria; Halobacteriales; Haloarculaceae
Description: tRNA-Trp
Rfam family: tRNA
About the family: Transfer RNA (tRNA) molecules are approximately 80 nucleotides in length. Their secondary structure includes four short double-helical elements and three loops (D, anti-codon, and T loops).
Source: RNAcentral